CGCCUCUUGAUUAAACAUAAGAGGUCCAGCCUGCCCAGUGACAAAGUUCAACGGCCGCGGUACCCUGACCGUGCGAAGGUAGCAUAAUCACUUGUUCUUUAAAUAGGGACUAGUAUCAACGGCAUCACGAGGGUUACACUGUCUCCUCCCUCUAAUCAGUGAAACUGAUCUCCCCGUGAAGAAGCGGGGAUUUAAAUAUAAGACGAGAAGACCCCAUGGAGCUUCAAACCCACAGCAACUCUCAACACUUAUACCCCGAUAUAUUAGAGUUAUGCACGACGGUUUUAGGUUGGGGUGACCGCGGAGUAAAAACUAACCUCCACGACGCACAGAACUACUCCUUUAUCCAAGAAUUACUAUUCUAAGAAUCAGCAGACUGACGUAAAAUGACCCGAUAAUCGAUCAACGAACCAAGUUACCCUGGGGAUAACAGCGCAAUCCACUUCAAGAGCCCAUAUCGACAAGUGGGUUUACGACCUCGAUGUUGGAUCAGGGUAUCCCAGUGGUGCAGCCGCUACUAAUGGUUCGUUUGUUCAACGAUUAAAACCCU
RNAcentral lists this ribosomal RNA (550 nucleotides) under Buergeria sp. FB-2006. Its description in RNAcentral is "partial 16S ribosomal RNA". It matches the Rfam family "Bacterial large subunit ribosomal RNA", at positions 1832 to 2597 of the family's 2925-position model. Lineage: Eukaryota; Metazoa; Chordata; Amphibia; Anura; Rhacophoridae. The record is from RNAcentral.